This is a long non-coding RNA of Pezoporus occidentalis (night parrot), 2335 nucleotides long. RefSeq lists it as uncharacterized. NCBI's taxonomy places the organism in Eukaryota, Metazoa, Chordata, Aves, Psittaciformes, Psittacidae. The record is from RefSeq and is a predicted model, not a curated record. The transcript is spliced from 4 exons.
UUCAUCUGAGCUAUGGGCAUACUGGUCUUGACCUACAGGCUCACUUCCAGGUUGACCUCAUUGCAAUUUCGCCUUAUGACCUAGGCUUUUGGUUGGACCUGGCCACCAUCUGCAGGUCUGCCUGUUCCUCCUACUCCGGUACUGCAGAGAGGGGCUCCCUCCACACUGUGGCAGCUGUCCAUGGUGUCUGUGUUGGCUCCCUGCUCCUUAGGGAACACCUUGCUGUUCCCUGAUGAUAUCCAAGGCCUUGGUAGUCCAUGCAGUCACAUUCAGCUCCUGGAAGGGCUGAGAUGCUCUUCCCCUUGUUUUCAUGCAGGAGAAGGAAAAGCACAGCUUCUUCCGGGUGUGCCACUGGAUCUGGAGAUGUGAGAGGGAAAGAACUGGAAGAAAUGACUCAUGGCAACUCCCUUACACCAGCGGUAUUGGUACAACUGCUUCUGGCUUCUAGGUUGAAUGGAAUUUAAUUAGACACUGAUGAAGAGAAGGAAAAGUGUAGCGUAUGUGCACAUGGAGGGGCUGAUUUCUGCUGCUCCCUCUGCUCUGCACAGCUCGGUGCUGUGGGAGGAAAUCACGCAUGUGAAGGGAUGUGGAAGGUCUUAUGUUCAAAAUCUAAGUAUACUGAUUGUUUUAAAAAAUAAUCUUCAGAAUGGAGGAGGGAAGGUGGAGCAGUGGCAGCCAUCUAUCUGAUGGAAGAAGGCAGCAACAGGGAGGGACUCUGAGAUUGCUUUCUGCAAAGAGAAAGCUGGCAGUUUUAAUUGUAGGAGGAACACACCCUGAGGUCAACCACAGCACUGAAUCAUGUCAAAACCUAUGGCAUGUAUGUCUGUUCUUCCAUCCCCUCCACAGCCCUUUUACCUCAAAAAACAAAGAUAAGCUGAUGAAAAGGUGGAGUCAUUGAGUCACCUGGGAGUGCAAUUUUGCCAUGACAGCCACCCAGUUCCCAUCUCCUAACUGCAGCUCUGUCAGUCCCUAAUUCAGCAACCCCUUAACCACCCCACGGUGACCCCCAAUUACCAAAGUGGCAGCUGUGCAGUUCGCUUGCAUCUGGUUGAGCUGAUUUUUUACCAUUAUGGUCCCAACCACCUGCUGUGCAUUCGAUGUAACUUUUCAAUUAACAUUCUCCAAGGAUUUGUAGCCUUUGGUGUGUGUUACAGCCUCGGCCAUUCCCACACCCGUCACCCCUGGGCUGCAGUGCUAUAACUCUUCCUACCUGCUGCACAAACACAUCAGGCACAGAUUUAAUGGCAUCCACCUAAAUCCCUCCAGUCAGAGAUGUGUAAAUGUGUAUGUAAAGGCUGUGCAGAAGAAGCCUAAAUGCAAAAGCAAAGUAUUAUUGAAUGUGACUAGUGCCACUCACACAGACAGACACAGGAUUACAGCCCAGCAAAUGAAGGUUGAUACGGUAACUGCACCAGGCAGGAGCAGAAGCAAAGCUGUCCUUCUCGAUAUCAGGGUACUACAAACAGUCCAGGAGCAGAGGUGCACUGCUGCAGCUCUCCUGCCCGCCGUCCAGCUUCUGCUCAAAUGUCCCAUCCCAAAACCCUCGGUGCUGCACGAUGGUGGAGGCAAACCUGGCAGAUGCCCGAAGGAGUCAGUAAUCUGCUGGGGCUCAAUGAUGUGCUAACGACCUCAGAAGGUUUCCCCCCUUCCCGGCAUGGCUAAGGGCCCCAGAGGUUUUAUUUGGUAAUUAGUCAAGGUUCACUAUGGAAUGAAGGCAGCUGCUCUGUAGCUCACACCGAAGCUCACAGCCCGACUUUCAACACUGCACCUUUGCCCUGUUUUCCAAAGCAUCACCUCACUUACAUGUUUGGAGGAGAAACUGGGUUUUAAAAGGUGAUUAUUCUCUACCCCCAGCCCCUCAACACACACCCAUGCCCCCAAACACCUAAAACACGUAGUUGUAAAGUCACAGAGCUUGCUUUUAGCCAACAUUAAUCAAGAGAGCAUCAACCAGAGUUGCUGAGAUAAUGAUGAUUUAUUUCAGUGUUAAUAGCUUGCCAAGUAGAAAAAUCUCCUCGCACAACUAGCAGCCCGCUUGCUAGGUUGCCAUCUCAAAAAGCAUGUUUGGGGCGCAGGUCCAUUAGGCUGAAAGUGUGCUGAGGUGUCAACUUUUGCCAUCAUCAAAAGGUCUUGGAUUGAGUUGUCUGAUCCUAAUUUCCAACCUUAGGAUGCACCUUUGAAGUGGUGACUGUGCAAAGGGCCAUUAUUUCACAGAGAGGGUUGUCUAAUAUUAGAACAUGAGGGUUUUCCAUGUUAUGAAUGUAAUAGAAUUUGUUGCAUUAGUAAGUGAGGCAUAUUUAUUUGCUGCUAGUACUAUGAAGGUUUCACAUCAACA